Molecule: ribosomal RNA, 253 nt
Filed under: uncultured bacterium
Lineage: Bacteria
Description: partial 16S ribosomal RNA
Rfam family: Bacterial small subunit ribosomal RNA
Source: RNAcentral
UACGUAGGGGGCAAGCGUUGUCCGGAUUUACUGGGCGUAAAGGGCGUGUAGGCGGGAAAUUAAGUCAGGUGUGAAAGUCCAUGGCUCAACUGUGGGAGUGCAUCUGAAACUGAUUGUCUUGAGUACUGGAGAGGUAAGCGGAAUUCCAAGUGUAGAGGUGAAAUGCGUAGAGAUUUGGAGGAACACCAGUGGCGAAGGCGGCUUUCUGGACAGUAACUGACGCUGAGGCGCGAAAGCGUGGGGAGCAAACAGG